Molecule: ribosomal RNA, 489 nt
Filed under: uncultured bacterium
Lineage: Bacteria
Description: partial 16S ribosomal RNA
Rfam family: Bacterial small subunit ribosomal RNA
Source: RNAcentral
GACGAACGCUGGCGGCGUGCUUAACACAUGCAAGUCGAACGCUGAAACCAGAUGCUUGCAUUUGGUGGAUGAGUGGCGAACGGGUGAGUAACACGUGGGUGAUCUGCCCUACACUUUGGGAUAAGCCUGGGAAACUGGGUCUAAUACCGAAUAUUCACACCACCGUAGGGGUGGUGUGGAAAGCUUUCUGCGGUGUGGGAUGAGCCUGCGGCCUAUCAGCGUGGUGGUGGGGUAAUGGCCUACCAAGGCGUCGACGGGUAGCCGGCCUGAGAGGGUGUACGGCCACAUUGGGACUGAGACACGGCCCAGACUCCUACGGGAGGCAGCAGUGGGGAAUAUUGCACAAUGGGCGCAAGCCUGAUGCAGCGACGCCGCGUGGGGGAUGACGGCCUUCGGGUUGUAAACUCCUUUCGCUAGGGACGAAGCCUUUUUUGGUGACGGUACCUGGAGAAGAAGCACCGGCUAACUACGUGCCAGCAGCCGCGGUAA